UGGUUGUCGUCAGCUCGUGUCGUGAGAUGUUGGGUUAAGUCCCGCAACGAGCGCAACCCUCGUCGUAUGUUGCCAGCACGUAAUGGUGGGAACUCAUAUGAGACUGCCGGGGUCAACUCGGAGGAAGGUGGGGAUGACGUCAAAUCAUCAUGCCCCUUAUGUCUUGGGCUUCACGCAUGCUACAAUGGCCGGUACAAAGGGCUGCGAUACCGCAAGGUGGAGCGAAUCCCAAAAAGCCGGUCUCAGUUCGGAUUGAGGUCUGCAACUCGACCUCAUGAAGUCGGAGUCGCUAGUAAUCGUAGAUCAGCAACGCUACGGUGAAUACGUUCCCGGGUCUUGUACACACC
Molecule: ribosomal RNA, 347 nt
Filed under: Microbacteriaceae bacterium
Lineage: Bacteria; Bacillati; Actinomycetota; Actinomycetes; Micrococcales; Microbacteriaceae
Description: bacterial SSU rRNA
Rfam family: Bacterial small subunit ribosomal RNA
Source: RNAcentral